UACGGGGGGGGCAAGCGUUGUUCGGAAUUACUGGGCGUAAAGGGUUCGUAGGUGGCCAACUCAGUCAGACGUGAAAUCCCUCAGCUCAACUGGGGAACUGCGUCUGAUACUGGUUGGCUCGAGUGCAGGAGAGGAACGCGGAAUUCCAGGUGUAGCGGUGAAAUGCGUAGAUAUCGGGAGGAACACCAGUGGCGAAGGCGACUUCCUGGCCUGUUCUUGACGCUGAGGCGCGAAAGCUAGGGGAGCAAACGGG
RNAcentral lists this ribosomal RNA (253 nucleotides) under uncultured bacterium. RNAcentral describes it as "partial 16S ribosomal RNA". It matches the Rfam family "Bacterial small subunit ribosomal RNA", at positions 524 to 776 of the family's 1533-position model. The record is from RNAcentral.